AACGAUUGGUAGAAGUAACAAUACAAGAAUUAGUCAUCAUUCUUUUAUUUGAAAAAAACCUUUUCUACAUUUAGAUUCCAAGCGUAUCGAAGUAGCCAUCGGUAAUACAGUAGUGUUUAUUUGUUAUUUUAUUCUUCUAGUCUGUGGACAAGUUUCUUUAUAAUAAACUCGUUCCGAUUUGUAUGUGUGCCAGUUCUUCUGUAAUCACAAAGGUACUUUUUAGAUUAUGAACGCCAAGUUUCAUAUAAAAACACUUAAAAAAAAAAUAAUAAGGUACAAUUUCUUUAUUUUAUUAUUUUAUAAAAACACGGACGACGUUCUCUACGAAAAUAGGUCGUCCAUGUACUAAUCGAAAAAUCACAAUAUAACUUUCAAUUGGUAUCAACACCAGAUUUUUGAGCCACUUUUGAGCUUUUAAGGAAUUUAACUUUAGGAUCGAGUUUUUUAUCGAAAAAAAAGCUUUAAUCCGAAAAAUAACAAUGUAGCCUUUCGUGGCCUUUAUGAUUUACUUUCAAACGGUAUCAACUUCACUCAGAAGAGUCUUUCAUCAAGCAAUGAUAUAUCUGUUAGAAAAGAUAUACCAUUCUUUGACGAAAUGAAAUCACCCAGUGUAUUAUAUGUACCUAACUUUUCACUUAUAACGGAGGCCACUCCCAUCUUUAGUACCACCACUAUUAUUAAGAGUAAGUGCAAAAUAUAAGAGUUUCAUUUAACUCUCUUCAAAUAAAUUACUUUGCAUGUGUUUGCAGCCACUGUUGUUGUAGGUGGAAAAUUAGGAAUGUAAAAUUCAGGCUGGCUGAAAUAUAAUGUAAAUCUGUAAAAAUCGAAAACCGUUGAUAUCGAAAAAACGAUUCUGAGAGAGGUUUACUGAAAAAUAUUGCUGUGUCAACAAUACAUAUGCCAUAUUAUAGCAAAAUAGUUGCAUAUGCAUUAAACAUUUUCUUUAAAAAUAUUUCUUCAAUUUUGUAUCUAUUCUCCCGUUAUCCUGAUUUUGACAUAUUUAAUUUUUAGGGAGGGAUUUGACUUUAAUAAAAUUUAUUUUAAUAAUAUAAUAAUAUAAUUAACAAAUAUAAUUUAUUAUUACUUAUUACAAAUAGUAAUAACAAUUACUACCUCCUAAUUAUAGUCAUAUCCAAACAUCAAAUUGUACAAGUUAUAAUCAGCAAAAAAUAGGUGCGUUAGCAUUCAUAUUAUAUAAUACAUGACUGAUAUUAUACGUAAAUAUUUUUUUCAAAAAUAUUAUGUUAUUAUAUGUCUAUAUUAAUAAAGCAUAAUUUAUAAUUUUUAGUAAACAAAAAAAGUGAAAAUUUCCAUAAUUUUAGUAAUUUUCAAAUUAAAAUAAACUCAAAAAAAAAUUUUUGAUCCUGUAUCGAGUAGGCAGUGAACCUAGCGGUAAUUUUAACUGCAGUAAUUUUUUCAAUUAAUUUAUCUUAGACCGUCAAGUGAAAGUGAUUACACCAUAAUAAUCUACCUUAAAGGUAGGAUUAUAGUGUUUCAAUGAUUUUAUUGAUUUCAAUAGUACAAUAUUUUAAAUUUAAACAUUUAAUAACUUUAAAUUUUAUUGUAAUAUGGCUGAUUUUGUCUGAUUCAAAUCAACUUUUGUUGAAUAGGUAAUUUACAAACUUGGCGAUCUAAACCUCUAGCAAGAACAUUUGGAUAAUCAGUCGACUACUACUAUAACGUAACUUGUAGCAAUUAUUAUUGUCAACUGGAAUCAUACCUAUAUAGUAAAUAUAAAUUGUUAAGAUCGUAACGCUUAACUGAAAUAUAUUAAAAUCAAAGCAUAAAAUUAAAUUUGUGUCUCCUAAGAAUAUCGUAUUAUUCGCGUAUCUAUUUCCGAUUUAUAGCAAAUAUGCUGUUAAAUUGUAUCGUUUCGUAUGUUAUUAGUUAAUCUUUUAUGUUAGUGUCAGUACACGGUGAUGGUGAGUUUGGUCCUGAUUUGCCACAACAAGAGCUCCUUUUAAAUCCAUAUUCCUCUGAUGGCCCUGGCAAUCCACCUGUUCCCAAUUACCAUGGCAUUCCUUCUAACAAUAAUCACAUUACCAAUAAAC
RNAcentral lists this long non-coding RNA (2051 nucleotides) under Cinara cedri. The record is from RNAcentral. Lineage: Eukaryota; Metazoa; Arthropoda; Insecta; Hemiptera; Aphididae.